UGCUGCCAUAUGAAAUCUAUUUUUUGAUGCAAAUUUUUGGUCUGCAGCAGCACAUUUUCAUGCCAAUUCUGCAUCUGCAUGCUUCAUUCAUCUUCUUCAUCAUUAUAAUUAACAUCAUUCCUUAGAUACACUGCAGCAGCAUUGCCUAUCAUGGCAUAGUGCACUCAUGCAUAUCAUAUUUAGUUUCAAUUAAAAUAAAGUCUGCACUUUUCUUAUUUUAUUUUAAAAUUUCUUUUCUCCUCAUUUGUUUUCUUUUAUUUUCUUUUUAACGAGAUUAAAUUACGCAAACUAGACUUAACACACACCAUUUCCGUGGAUUCGAUCUUGAGUAUUUUUCUUAUACUUCAUUAGGAGAAAUUAUUUGGUUUUGUUUAACACUAAAAACCACUGAAAAAUACGAUUUAACAGUCCCCACAAAUCACUAAAAAAUAAUUGAAGAGGGUGCGUGCAAACAGUAGCGGAAGAAGAAGAUGGUAAGUGAUGAGAUUUACCCAUACAACAUGAAGAACAAAAAAUGAGAUUCUUACUAUUAAAAGGAACAUUACAUUUAGUCAUAACAAGUUUCAAUACAUUAAUAUUAGGAUGUCUUAAUCUUGAAUGCCAUAAAUUGAGUGAUGAUUGGGAACACGGAGUAGCAGUAAUGGAGAAGAUAGCAGCAGACGAACUAGAGUUGGACAGACCAGGCUAAAAGUGAGGAAAGGAAUAGAGACCAUCAACACCAACAACACCUUGGAGGAGUAGUUCAGAGUUGCUGGAGAUUUAACACAACAAGAAUGAGGAUAAAACUCAAAAUAAACAUCAUUUUCUAGAGCAAACAAACGAACACUAAGAAGAUUUCUAGUGAUGGAUGGUACAAGUAAUGAAUGUCGAAGAUGAAAAAUUAAGGAAGGGUGUGUGGAAGGAUGAAGGGUAGUAGAACCAAAAGCAAGAACAUGCAGACCUUCACCAUUACCAACAUUGAUGUUGUCUGGACCACCAAGGUCUUGAAUUGUUGAAUAUUUUGAGAGUCAUUGGUGAGAUGGAAAGAAGCACCUGAAUCUGGAACCCAAGAUAUGGUGGUGGCAGGAGACGUAGAGGAUGUCAACAUAGCACUAGGAAAACCAGGAACUAACUGUGUGGAUGCAGCAACACUAGAAGAAGUAGUGGCAGAAGAUGCAAUGUUGAAGGAAGAAGCAGAAUAUAGGGGCUGCUGUGUUGUAGGAUCAUAAAGAACCAGAGAUAUGUCAGGCUUAAAAUUGGGGUCUGCACGAAAAUGGCACAUAUUAGCAGUGUGGCCAUACUUGAGACAAAUCUGGCACUGGAAAUUAGCAAAACGGCCACCACGGGCACGAUCACAGCCUCGGGAACAUCGUGCCCCACCACGAAAAUUAAAGGGAGUAAAAUUGGUGGGGAACGAAUAUGGAGCAGCACCAGAGGUGUAGUUGAUAGAUGGUGGAGGAAAAAGAAAUUUUUGAUGGUGUUGAAUCCGUGCUUUAUGGGCAAAAAGAAGAGCCUCCACCUAAGUUAUGGGAAGGGUCUCAAAUUUGCUCUUAAUGACUAAAAUCACAGUAACAUAAUCAGGAGAAAGACCCUCAAGAAUAGCAUCAACAUAAUCAUUGAGGGAUACAGGAGAACCAAUUCCAGCCAACUCAUCCACAAAAGAUUUGAUGCGGUUGAGAAAAGCAUGCAUAGAUUGAGUGCCAAGGGACUGGUUUCGUAAAUCAGUGCGAAACCUAAAUGGAAAAUAUUCCUUCUAACAAAUCAACAUCAGAACAAGUAAGACAAAGAUGGAGAAUAAAUGCUGCAAAUAGAAGACGUAGAAUGAUCCCCCAACAAAGACUUAUUGAACAGUCUAAAAGAAGGAAAAGUAAUCCUGAAAACACAACCAACAUUGUCCAAAUGCCAAACAGAGCUUCCCGAUUGAGAAUGACAUCUAUUCGACAAAUGGCUCGGUUCGUAACUAAUGCAGGUUAUGGUUUGGUCCCACAAAGGUUUGCAGGACGUAAUGAUAAUGAAGAAGAACCAAGUAAUACACAUAUUACUGAAACUCUACAUGGUUAAUCAAUUUUAUUCAUCAAUAUUUAAUCCAUGUUAUUUACUUACCAUUUUAUGAAAUAUUUACAUAUUUAUAUUUAUUAUGCUUCAUGCUUUCACAUAACAGGUUCUCCUCAUGCACCGCAAAGGUUUGAAGAAUAUAAUGUAUAUGAAGCAUUGUCAAGUACUUCACCUGUCAGUAACAUAGAUUGUGGUUAUGGUUUUGCCUCACAAAGGUUUUCAGGACGUAAUGAUAGUGAAGCAGGACCAAGUAAUACGCACAUUACUGAUAGGUUUCCAGGACGUAAUGAUAAUGAAGCAGGACCAAGUAAUAUGCACAUUACUGACAGGUUUCUAGGUCGUAAUGAUAAUGAAGCAAGGCCAAGUAAUACGCACAUUAAUGGCACUGAACAUG
Vigna unguiculata (cowpea) is the source of this 2428-nucleotide long non-coding RNA. NCBI's taxonomy places the organism in Eukaryota, Viridiplantae, Streptophyta, Magnoliopsida, Fabales, Fabaceae. The record is from RefSeq and is a predicted model, not a curated record.